CACGUAGGCGGAUCUUUAAGUCAGGGGUGAAAUCCCGAGGCUCAACCUCGGAACUGCCUUUGAUACUGGAGGUCUCGAGUCCGGGAGAGGUGAGUGGAACUGCGAGUGUAGAGGUGAAAUUCGUAGAUAUUCGCAAGAACACCAGUGGCGAAGGCGGCUCACUGGCCCGGUACUGACGCUGAGGUGCGAAAGCGUGGGGAGACAAACAGGAUUAGACUACCCGUGGUAGUCCACGACCGUAAACGAUGGAUGCUAGCCGGUUGGGGAGCUUGCUCUUCAGUGGCGCAGCUAACGCUUUAAGCAUCCCGCCUGGGGAGUACGGUCGCAAGAUUAAA
Molecule: ribosomal RNA, 335 nt
Filed under: uncultured bacterium
Lineage: Bacteria
Description: bacterial SSU rRNA
Rfam family: Bacterial small subunit ribosomal RNA
Source: RNAcentral